AUUGAACGCUGGCGGCAGGCCUAACACAUGCAAGUCGAACGGUAACAGAAAGCAGCUUGCUGCUUUGCUGACGAGUGGCGGACGGGUGAGUAAUGUCUGGGAAACUGCCUGAUGGAGGGGGAUAACUACUGGAAACGGUAGCUAAUACCGCAUAACGUCGCAAGACCAAAGAGGGGGACCUUCGGGCCUCUUGCCAUCGGAUGUGCCCAGAUGGGAUUAGCUAGUAGGUGGGGUAAAGGCUCACCUAGGCGACGAUCCCUAGCUGGUCUGAGAGGAUGACCAGCCACACUGGAACUGAGACACGGUCCAGACUCCUACGGGAGGCAGCAGUGGGGAAUAUUGCACGAUGGGCGCAAGCCUGAUGCAGCCAUGCCGCGUGUGUGAAGAAGGCCUUCGGGUUGUAAAGUACUUUCAGCGGGGAGGAAGGGAGUAAAGUUAAUACCUUUGCUCAUUGACGUUACCCGCAGAAGAAGCACCGGCUAACUCCGUG
Molecule: ribosomal RNA, 490 nt
Filed under: uncultured bacterium
Lineage: Bacteria
Description: partial 16S ribosomal RNA
Rfam family: Bacterial small subunit ribosomal RNA
Source: RNAcentral